RNAcentral lists this ribosomal RNA (467 nucleotides) under uncultured bacterium. RNAcentral describes it as "partial 16S ribosomal RNA". It matches the Rfam family "Bacterial small subunit ribosomal RNA", at positions 28 to 507 of the family's 1533-position model. The record is from RNAcentral.
GACGAACGCUGGCGGCGUGCUUAACACAUGCAAGUCGAACGGAAAGGCCUCUUUCGGGGGGUACUCGCGUGGCGAACGGGUGAGUAACACGUGAGUAACCUGCCCUUUACUUUGGGAUAACUUCAGGAAACUGGGGCUAAUACCGGAUAGGAGCUCCUGCUGCAUGUUGGGGGUUGGAAAGUUUCGGCGGUUGGGGAUGGACUCGCGGCUUAUCAGCUUGUUGGUGGGGUAGUGGCUUACCAAGGCUUUGACGGGUAGCCGGCCUGAGAGGGUGACCGGCCACAUUGGGACUGAGAUAAGGCCCAGACUCCUACGGGGGGCAGCAGUGGGGAAUAUUGCACAAUGGGUGGAAGCCUGAUGCAGCAAAGCCGUGUGCGGGAUGAAGGCCUUCGGGUUGUAAACCGCUUUCGCUCAUGACGAAGCUUUGUGUGACGGUAGUGGGUAAAGAAGCACCGGCUAACUACGUG